GACGAACUCUGGCGGCGCGCCUAACACAUGCAAGUCGAACGAGCGAGAGAGAGCUUGCUUUCUCGAGCGAGUGGCGAACGGGUGAGUAACGCGUGAGGAACCUGCCUCAAAGAGGGGGACAACAGUUGGAAACGACUGCUAAUACCGCAUAAGCCCACGGGUCGGCAUCGACCAGAGGGAAAAGGAGCAAUCCGCUUUGAGAUGGCCUCGCGUCCGAUUAGCUAGUUGGUGAGGUAACGGCCCACCAAGGCAACGAUCGGUAGCCGGACUGAGAGGUUGAACGGCCACAUUGGGACUGAGACACGGCCCAGACUCCUACGGGAGGCAGCGGUGGGGAAUAUUGCACAAUGGGGGAAACCCUGAUGCAGCGACGCCGCGUGGAGGAAGAAGGUCUUCGGAUUGUAAACUCCUGUUGUUGAGGAAGAUAAUGACGGUACUCAACAAGGAAGUGACGGCUAACUACGUGCCAGCAGCCGCGGUAAAACGUAGGUCACAAGCGUUGUCCGGAAUUACUGGGUGUAAAGGGAGCGCAGGCGGGAAGACAAGUUGGAAGUGAAAUCCAUGGGCUCAACCCAUGAACUGCUUUCAAAACUGUUUUUCUUGAGUAGUGCAGAGGUAGGCGGAAUUCCCGGUGUAGCGGUGGAAUGCGUAGAUAUCGGGAGGAACACCAGUGGCGAAGGCGGCCUACUGGGCACCAACUGACGCUGAGGCUCGAAAGUGUGGGUAGCAAACAGGAUUAGAUACCCUGGUAGUCCACACCGUAAACGAUGAUUAAUAGGUGUUGGAGGAUUGACCCCUUCAGUGCCGCAGUAACACAAUAAG
RNAcentral lists this ribosomal RNA (822 nucleotides) under uncultured bacterium. Its description in RNAcentral is "bacterial SSU rRNA". It matches the Rfam family "Bacterial small subunit ribosomal RNA", at positions 28 to 864 of the family's 1533-position model. The record is from RNAcentral.